Molecule: ribosomal RNA, 504 nt
Filed under: uncultured bacterium
Lineage: Bacteria
Description: partial 16S ribosomal RNA
Rfam family: Bacterial small subunit ribosomal RNA
Source: RNAcentral
GAUGAACGCUAGCGGCAGGCCUAAUACAUGCAAGUCGAACGGGAUCUGAGGGUAGCUUGCUACCCGAUUUGAGAGUGGCGCACGGGUGCGUAACGCGUGAGCAACCUACCCAUAUCAGGGGGAUAGCCCGAAGAAAUUCGGAUUAACACCGCAUAAUAAUACGCUAACACAUGUUGAUGUAUUUAAAUAUUUAUAGGAUAUGGAUGGGCUCGCGUGACAUUAGCUAGUUGGUAAGGUAACGGCUUACCAAGGCGACGAUGUCUAGGGGCUCUGAGAGACGAACCCCCCCGACUGGUACUGGGACACGGACCAGACUCCUACGGGAGGCAGCAGUAAGGAAUAUUGGUAAAUGGGCGCAAGCCUGAACCAGCCAUGCCGCGUGCAGGAUGACUGCCCUAUGGGUUGUAAACUGCUUUUGUUAGGGAAUAAACCUUCUUACGUGUAAGGAGCUGAAUGUACCUAAAGAAUAAGGAUCGGCUAACUCCGUGCCAGCCGCCGCCGUAA